RNAcentral lists this transfer RNA (76 nucleotides) under Candidatus Beckwithbacteria bacterium RIFCSPHIGHO2_12_FULL_47_17. Its description in RNAcentral is "tRNA-Phe". It matches the Rfam family "tRNA". From Rfam's summary of the family: Transfer RNA (tRNA) molecules are approximately 80 nucleotides in length. RNAcentral also lists the same sequence under 1 other name. Lineage: Bacteria; Candidatus Beckwithiibacteriota. The record is from RNAcentral.
GGCAAGGUAGCCAAGUCGGUCACGGCGGGCGUCUGAAAAACGUCAGAUAUUGGUUCAAUUCCAAUCCUUGCCACCA